RNAcentral lists this ribosomal RNA (424 nucleotides) under uncultured bacterium. Its description in RNAcentral is "bacterial SSU rRNA". It matches the Rfam family "Bacterial small subunit ribosomal RNA", at positions 356 to 773 of the family's 1533-position model. The record is from RNAcentral.
GGGGAAUCUUGCGCAAUGGGCGAAAGCCUGACGCAGCGACGCCGCGUGAGUGAUGAAGGCCUUCGGGUUGUAAAGCUCUGUGGGGAGAGACGAAUAAGUGCAGGCUAAUACCCUGCAUGAUGACGGUAUCUCCUUAGCAAGCACCGGCUAACACUGUGCCAGCAGCCGCGGUAAGACAGAGGGUGCAAACGUUGUUCGGAAUUACUGGGCGUAAAGCGAGUGUAGGCGGUCUCGUAAGUCGGAUGUGAAAGCCCAGGGCUCAACCCUGGAAGUGCACUCGAUACUGCGAGGCUAGAGUACUGGAGAGGUUGGUGGAAUUCUCGGUGUAGAGGUGAAAUUCGUAGAUAUCGAGAGGAACACCGGUGGCGAAGGCGGCCAACUGGACAGAUACUGACGCUGAGACUCGAAAGCGUGGGGAGCAAAC